GAUAAAAUGGCUGAGAUUGAUAGGCAUUAGGUUGUAAAUCUGAAGACAAGUGUUACUUUUUUAUCA
Molecule: transfer RNA, 66 nt
Filed under: Engaewa subcoerulea
Lineage: Eukaryota; Metazoa; Arthropoda; Malacostraca; Decapoda; Parastacidae
Description: tRNA-Tyr
Rfam family: tRNA
About the family: Transfer RNA (tRNA) molecules are approximately 80 nucleotides in length. Their secondary structure includes four short double-helical elements and three loops (D, anti-codon, and T loops). Further hydrogen bonds mediate the characteristic L-shaped molecular structure. tRNAs have two regions of fundamental functional importance: the anti-codon, which is responsible for specific mRNA codon recognition, and the 3' end, to which the tRNAs corresponding amino acid is attached (by aminoacyl-tRNA synthetases). tRNAs cope with the degeneracy of the genetic code in two manners: having more than one tRNA (with a specific anti-codon) for a particular amino acid; and 'wobble' base-pairing, i.e. permitting non-standard base-pairing at the 3rd anti-codon position.
Source: RNAcentral